Molecule: transfer RNA, 114 nt
Filed under: Nitrospirota bacterium
Lineage: Bacteria; Pseudomonadati; Nitrospirota
Description: Nitrospirae bacterium (mine drainage metagenome) tRNA-Glu
Source: RNAcentral
GUAGGGAAAAGUGGGAAGACCGCCCAAUUAAGCUUUAAUAACCGAUUUGCGAAAUUUCUUCUAACUAUCCCUUUCAAGGCAGUAACACGGGUUCAAAUCCCGUUGGGGACACCA